Molecule: ribosomal RNA, 497 nt
Filed under: uncultured bacterium
Lineage: Bacteria
Description: partial 16S ribosomal RNA
Rfam family: Bacterial small subunit ribosomal RNA
Source: RNAcentral
GAUGAACGCUGGCGGCGUGCCUAAUACAUACCAGUCGAGCGAACAGACGAGGAGCUUGCUCCUCUGACGUUAGCGGCGGACGGGUGAGUAACACGUGGAUAACCUACCUAUAAGACUGGGAUAACUUCGGGAAACCGGAGCUAAUACCGGAUAAUAUAUUGAACCGCAUGGUUCAAUAGUGAAAGACGGUUUUGCUGUCACUUAUAGAUGGAUCCGCGCCGCAUUAGCUAGUUGGUAAGGUAACGGCUUACCAAGGCAACGAUGCGUAGCCGACCUGAGAGGGUGAUCGGCCACACUGGAACUGAGACACGGUCCAGACUCCUACGGGAGGCAGCAGUAGGGAAUCUUCCGCAAUGGGCGAAAGCCUGACGGAGCAACGCCGCGUGAGUGAUGAAGGUCUUCGGAUCGUAAAACUCUGUUAUUAGGGAAGAACAAAUGUGUAAGUAACUAUGCACGUCUUGACGGUACCUAAUCAGAAAGCCACGGCUAACUACGUG